Molecule: non-coding RNA, 195 nt
Organism: Oryza nivara
Lineage: Eukaryota; Viridiplantae; Streptophyta; Magnoliopsida; Poales; Poaceae
Source: Rfam
CCUAUGUCCCAUUUCACGACUUUUCGUAUCCAACUUUAAUUGUUUGUCUUAUUUGAAAGAAUUAAAAACAUAUAAGUCACACAUAAAGUAAUAUUUAUGUUUCAUCAUCUAAUAACAAUAAAAAUACUAAUCAUAAAAAAAUGAAAUAAGAUGGACGAUUAAAAUUAGACAUGGAAACUUAUAGCUGCGCUUAAA